Cottoperca gobio is the source of this 690-nucleotide long non-coding RNA. RefSeq lists it as uncharacterized. NCBI's taxonomy places the organism in Eukaryota, Metazoa, Chordata, Actinopteri, Perciformes, Bovichtidae. The transcript has 3 exons. The record is from RefSeq and is a predicted model, not a curated record.
CAUGGUCACACCUGAUGCUUGACAUGAGUCCAGAUGAACCUGUGCAAGGCUUUUAUUCAGAAGUCAGUGUUAUGACGGAGUCUGGAGAGCAUGUUGCUUCUUUUCAGGAUCAGUUGAGAGAUAUGGGAUUGUUUGGUGUCGUCAACAGUUUUGGACAAAGCAGAAUUCGCACAUGUAGGGGAGGAUAUUGCACCGAACAGGUGGACAGUCAUCCGGUACUCCUCUAGGUUCUUCGUUGUGUCCCUGUCCGGCCAUCACAGGAACCGCAGGAGUUCGAGGUCAUCCUGAUGGACACAUACCUGCGGCUGUCUGUCUCUGUUGUCCCCUGAGUUGAGGCCACCCUGAGGCCAAUGACAGUGGCAUUGCAAGGAUCAAUACCACCCACCCUGCCACCAUGAGCGAGGGAUCGAUGGAGAGUUUGGUUUUCUCUCUCUGGUUUCUCAUCAGCACUCUAACACCUCACACUUUCUCACACUGUAUUUAAGGAUAUAUGCAAACAUCCUUUUAUUAUUAUGAACUAUUGUUUAGAAAUUGGUCAUUGAAAUGAAAACCUUUUUGAAUGUCAUCCCCUCACAAUUCUUCAUGAUUUAAAGAAAAGGGAAUGAACCAAAAUCAGGAAGUAAUUAAUACAACUAUAAUACAGUAUAUCCAUGAAAUUUAUAAUAUGAAUAUUCCAAUGUUAAAGUUAAG